UAGAAAGCUCCGCAAGCA
This 18-nucleotide transfer RNA is filed under the name Percalates novemaculeata (Australian bass). RNAcentral describes it as "partial tRNA-Phe". The record is from RNAcentral. Lineage: Eukaryota; Metazoa; Chordata; Actinopteri; Centrarchiformes.